UCACGUGUAUCAGAAGUCAAAAUAACUUCCAAAUUCGGUAACCCAAGUUCCCUGUUGCAAAUAUGUGUUCACUUCCUCUAUUCCGUAGGAGGAAGAAUGAACACUAGGCGGCUAAAACGUACUAUCCGCUCGCGCACGCACGUUUUCUCUUUCCCAAUCUGUCUCACGAUUGCACAAACUAGAGCAAGUGGUUGAGUUUCGGUCGCCGAACGGACCUCGUUGUCGUUGUCUUAUCAACCGCCCGACCAGUAAAAACUAUGUGAACGCAAGUGAGGGUAUUGGCGCGUAAUGGUAUGAUGCAAAUGUUUCGAGAGGGAAUGAGAUAGCGAUUCAGAAUCAAUUGUCCAAGAAGUUCGUUUUUCGAAAUACGAGUUUUACUUCGGUAAAAUUACGUACUUCCGGGUAUCUAGAACCAAAAAUCGUUUAUCUGAGGGUUUUAGGAAUAGCUUCUCAUCCAUUUCAAUCUAGACCGUGAAAGAGGUUAGAGUGCGUGUUUUUUGAUUUUGUCCCGCGGUGUGUCGAAAGGUGUUGCGUUAAAGUCUAGAAGUAGGAAGUGCGGAUAAUUCGUGUGCGUUUGCUGAAAGUACAAAAAAGCCGUGCGACGGCUUUUAUUCUACCGUUUAGAUUGGCACUAUUCAUCGGCCCGCCACACCGCCCUUCGCCCACCGACGCGCUCUAGACCCACGCGCUAGUUUGGAAGAUUCUGCCGCUACAACCAAAUAAGGCAGAAGUGCGACGGUUUUACAUCGUUUGCUCAACUGAGCUGCACGUCACGACCAUCCGGUGUGUACGUAAUUUGUUGCUGGCAGCGUGUCCGGCGUACCGACAGUGCCAGCAGUUAUCUAAUCCCGUACGCAGGAAGACAUCCGGAGAUCCUUAAUCGCCGCCUGCGCAGAUUCAUCACCGCCGGUGUAGAUACAUCGCCCCCACCGCAUCGCCGCAUCAGGACAGUCUUCGCAGUAGUGCGAAUGUGAGUACGCAUCGAAAGCAGUGGGAGAUGGUCAGCGAAUAAGUAGAGUGAGUAAACGCCUAAAUUCCCUGCGCAGGGUGACAAAAGCUCGAGAAUAUUAUAGCGUGUUUACACAGUUUCCCACCCGCACUUGUUAGGGCCCUGAACCGGCAUUAGAAAUGUAGAAUAAGUAAAUUAAGAGUAGGAUGUUAGUUUGUAAAAUAAAUGUUGAAAGUUAGUUUGCGUUUCCUACAAGAUGUUUUAGUGUUUGAAGUGAUAUUUUUUGUAGGUUUGUCGAAUUAAAGGGUCUCAUGUUUCGCGUUCGUUUCUGGUAGUUUUUCGUUUGUACUCUGGGUAGGACUGCUCGGGAAAACAGUCCCCACUCUGGUUUCUGAA
This is a long non-coding RNA of Topomyia yanbarensis, 1345 nucleotides long. RefSeq lists it as uncharacterized. NCBI's taxonomy places the organism in Eukaryota, Metazoa, Arthropoda, Insecta, Diptera, Culicidae. The record is from RefSeq and is a predicted model, not a curated record. The transcript is spliced from 3 exons.